UAAAACAUAAUAAAGAUGAGUUAUAAUAUUAAUAAAAGUAGUUAAUUUUAAUAUUAAAAAUUUUUUGGUAAAAAAAAUAAUAAUUAAAAAUCGGGUCAACUGGGUCAAUUAACCGGGUUUACCGAUUGGACUGGUGGUCGGGUUUUGACCAAAACCGAGUCACCGGGCUAAAUCAGACCAGAAUGCGAACCAGUUCUGAUUUUUAUCGGUCCGACCGCAUGUCUGGUCCGGUUCAGGUUUUAAAACAUUGGUUACUACUCCCUCCAUUCCUAUUAGGGUUAAAUAAACUUAUGUCCCUCGAAGUAUGACCCAUUUUAUACUUGUGACCCUAAUGUUUAAAACCUCACAUUAUCAUACUCGAAGUGCACUUAAGUAAACAAAAGUGACCCUAAAUUCAUUUCCGAUCAAAAAACUGCCCGAGUGCUGACAUGUCACCAGA
Molecule: long non-coding RNA, 439 nt
Filed under: Panax ginseng (ginseng)
Lineage: Eukaryota; Viridiplantae; Streptophyta; Magnoliopsida; Apiales; Araliaceae
Description: long non-coding RNA (PGIN_LNC003880)
Source: RNAcentral